AACAACGCUCAGCACGAACAUCCCUAAGAAAUUUAACUCCACCUUCUUCCGGAAUUCGAACAAUCGUCCAGAACGCGACCUUGCGUUAGCUUCAAAACGAAAAAAAUACGAAAAACUCACGUUAAAGAUUGAAACAACAAACUCACCUUCGGUGGCCGUUCAAAUCAACGUGAAUCUGAAAUCGUCUUCUCCGAUCUGUUUUGUCGUUGAUGACGCGUUGGAUGAACAAUGACGAUGAUGCUCCGAUUUGAAAUGUCAACGCAAGGUUAUGAUCAUCUCCUUUGGUUAUGCUCCGUCGUCAUCAUCCGUCGAUUCUGUUACGGCGUCGUUGCUUUGACGUCGCGUGGUACGCGUGUUACGAGUCGCUAUUGCUGAUGGGUUGCGUUGUGGGGUUGCAGUGAAGAGGGAAAGGCGUUGGAUCCUUUCUUUGAAGAGGGAAGGUAAUCGCUUCUGAGGCCCGUCGAAUCUCGAUCGAUGAAGACCUUUUCCCGAAACCGUGAGUUUUCUCCUUCCGUUUUGCGUUUUCCUCUUCUUUUGUUUCUGUUACGUUCUGUUGUUGAUUGGAGGAGAUUCCGUAAAAUUAUGCAGGUUGACGGAUUUUUAUGUGGACCUCAUUCAGAGCAGAUGGUGGAAGCUGGUGGUUAUUUGGAGAAGUUGGAGGAUUCCGCGGCGGGUUGCAGGGUGGAGGCGAAUGGGGGUUUGGUGGAUGUGAUUGUGAGGUUGAAGAAGUCGAUGAAGAGAAGUCAGCGUCAGUUCUGGGUUGCAAUGGAGAUGGAAAAAGAAAAAAAAAACGGGUGAAGAAACCAGUUCAGUUCUAUGGAGGUUGUUGAAGUUGUGGAGGUUAUGGAAAAUUGUGGAUUCAGUUAGGAAUUAGUUAGAUUCAAUGACAGUUGGCGACAGUUGGCGACAGUUGGAAUUGAUUAGGCGGUUAGGACGGUUGAAGAGAGUUGGAAUUCGGUUCGAGUUGGUUUCGACAGUUGCUAUUCAUCAUGGGAAGUUAUGGCACUUGGCAGGUUAGUUACCGAGUCGGUUCUCAUAUGAAGUUAGUCAUGGUUUCAGUGAGUGUUUCCAGUUCUCUAUUAUGCUAUGCUUCUAUUUUGCCUCCUUCUUUCCACUGUUAUGCUGUGGAUUCAAAUGGCUUAAUGUUGGAAAAGGUUGAUGUAUAUUUGUGUUUUUGCAGGCUAACGAUUUACGGUCUUUGUUACGGAGCUAUGGUCGGCAUGUUGUAAGGCUUGCAUUGGAUUAGAUUAUGUUGGAGGUGAUGAAAGCAUAAGUUUGAACUGAGUUAUGGUGAGGGAAGUUAGAAGCAGUUUUGAGCUAUGGUCGGCAUGUUGUAAGGCUUGCAUUGGAUUAGAUUAUGUUGGAGGUGAUGAAAGCAUAAGUUUGAACUGAGUUAUGGUGAGGGAAGUUAGAAGCAGUUUUGAAAUUGUUAUUAUUUUUUUUCAUGAAAUUUGCAGGUUAAAUGGGUUUGUUUGAAGUGUACGAUCCUUCCAACUGCAUGAAUGAGUCCACAAUGGGAGGUGCGACAAUGACAGUUGGUUCACCCAAGUUAAGCAAAUAUUGAGGAGAUUAUUCAUUGGGUACACUUGCCAUAUUAGCUCUCAAAACCUUGUUGCCGGCCGAUGUUCCUUUUUUAUGCUGUUAUUUGGAAUGCAUGGCCUGCAUGGAACGCAUGUUUUUAUGUAUGGAAAUAAUUGGAUUUGAAAUGUAUGAAUUGGUAUGGAUUAGUGUGUUUUUUGGGCUUUUGUUGUAAUUUUUGUGCAUUGAAUGUGUAAUGUAGGUAAUUGAAUUAGAAAUGUGAGGAAUCUGUGUAAUGUUUAAAUUGGAAUUGAAUACAUGUGAUUUUGGAAAUUGGCUUAUGUAAUGAAAGUGUAGUUUUGCAACUAAUGGUUGAAAUGUUUGUAGUGCAUUUGAAUUGUCAAUUAGAAAUAAUG
Molecule: long non-coding RNA, 1934 nt
Filed under: Lathyrus oleraceus (garden pea)
Lineage: Eukaryota; Viridiplantae; Streptophyta; Magnoliopsida; Fabales; Fabaceae
Description: Pisum sativum (pea) long non-coding RNA (PSAT_LNC008460)
Source: RNAcentral